GGCAGUUCUCAGGUGACACUCCCAGAAUCAGGCUCUCUCCUCUCUGGUUCCAGGGUGCAUAACCCCAGAACCGCC
Molecule: non-coding RNA, 75 nt
Organism: Myotis brandtii (Brandt's bat)
Lineage: Eukaryota; Metazoa; Chordata; Mammalia; Chiroptera; Vespertilionidae
Source: Rfam